Molecule: ribosomal RNA, 497 nt
Filed under: uncultured bacterium
Lineage: Bacteria
Description: partial 16S ribosomal RNA
Rfam family: Bacterial small subunit ribosomal RNA
Source: RNAcentral
GACGAACGCUGGCGGCGUGCCUAAUACAUGCAAGUAGAACGCUGAAGGGAGGAGCUUGCUCUUCUUGGAUGAGUUGCGAACGGGUGAGUAACGCGUAGAUAACAUGCCUUGUAGAGGGGGAGAAAUAUUGGGGAAAAUAGCUCAUACAGCAUAACCAUGCAUGACCCAUGUCAUUUAUUAGAAAGGAGCAAAUGCUCCAAUAUAAGCUGGACCUGCGUGUGAUUAGCUAGUCGGUGGGGUAACGGCCCACCAAGGCGACGAUCCAUAGCCGGCCUGAGAGGGUGAACGGCCACACUGGGACUGAGACACGGCCCAGACUCCUACGGGAGGCAGCAGUAGGGAAUCUUCGGCAAUAGGGGCAAGUCUGACCGAGCAACGCCGCGUGAGUGAAGAAGGUCUUCGGAUCGUAAAGCUCUGUUGUAAGUCAAGAACGGGUGUGAGGGUGGAAAGUUCACACUGUGACGGUAGCUUACCAGAAAGCGACGGCUAACUACGUG